GCCUCCUCUCUUCCCAUCUCGUCUCAACUCGAUCACCUCCAUCCAUCCAUUCUGGAGGAUGGAACAAGGGAGCGAGAGAGGCAAGAGAGGGAGCCAGGCAUCAACUCCACCUCCAGGAGGAGGAGGCAGCCGCCGAGAGGAGGAGGAGGUGGACAAGUUCUACGCUUUGCUGGAAAAGAUAAGAGCGAUAAGAGAGUCGUUGAGGACGAGCAGAAUCAAGAGGAUGAAGACGGAAGCAGCUCCGGUUUGGCGGCCUAAGUUCGAGUUGGAGGACUUCAUGGAGGGCGGCGAAGCUGGCAGCGCCGCUGUGGGCGAACACAGUCAGAAGAAGGCAGAGAGAAAGGAAGAAGAAGAAGAAGAAGACGAAGACGAGAAGAAGAGUAGUUUAGAUCUAUGUCUGUCUCUGUAAAUGAAUGUUUGUACAAUUCGCAUGCAUCGGUGAAGAAUUCCACUGCUUGUCCAACUCGCUGCUAAUGUCUCUUCUGUGUUCUUUCUCUGGGAGGGAAUGGCAUCAUCAGGUGUGAAUGCCGGAGGAACACUGUGCAACAGCUACAAGUCAAUGUAAAUGGAUUAUUAUUCUUCUGUUGGAGGUUCCAAAUGUGAGUUGGACUGAAGGAAACAAGUCGUAUAGAUCGGAAUAACGAGAGAGGAAAAGGCCGUAACGUAUAGACCGGUAAAUGCUGUCUUUUCAUUGCGUAAAGGCAGACGAGUCUGCCGAGAGCCGAUCUUUUCGUGGAUGAACUAAAGACCACAUGAUGAGGGUGGCAGAUGCUGCUGCUGCUGCUGCUGUUCAUGACAUGUCGAGGGGACCAACUCCCCCGCUUGAGUGCAGACGAAAAGAUGACAUGAAAUACCAACGCCGGCCGACCCGCCAUGGCUAGAUUAGAUUACGACGGACAUGUGCUGGUGGAUCGGAUCGAGUGGAUACCCAAUCCAAACAGCCCUCUUUGGCACUCGGCAGCAGCAUGUAACGAUUGUUAGACUCAUUCCGUACCCUCUUUGGCAUUUGAUAGGGGCAAUGAACAGAUAGAAUAAUUGACAACUAUCAACUUCGUCGAUUGAUUCAAAGUCAUUAAACAGUUUUAAUAGUAAUUCAUCCCCUCUGAAUCUUGUAAAUUAAUCUAAAUCUCUUAAUGUGUGAUUGGAUCAAAAGUGAUGUAAUCUUUUAUUAAUUGGACCAACUCAAAAACUUCAAUACUAUAAAAAUUAAGAGAACAAAUAAAAUGACAAAACAUUUAUGCUAGCAUUAUCAACAACUCAUUACUUUAUGCCAUCAAAACAAAGGGAAAAAUGCAAAGAUAGCUACUAAUGGCAAAUAAAAUGACAAUGGUUCGAAAAGCAACGUUCCUACCACGCUAGAGAGAGAGAGAGAGAGAGAGAGAGCUCCAAAAACAAAAAAAGAGGUCCAAAAACAUACACCUACAUAAGAUAACCUGAAAUGUGUGCGUCACAGUUGCUUAGAACACUAAAACCUAAGAAUAGUGGCGGCACAAGAGUCAUCGCCGAGUAGGCUGUCCACCGCUAGUAGCGUAUCUCCCAAACUCUGAUGGUUCCAUCGGUGUAACCGGUGAACAGUGUGCUACCGUUGGCACUCCAAGUCAAGCUUGUGCAGUAUAACAUCUGUGCAAAGAGUGAGAAACAUGGAUAGAUUUGAGUCAAUUAUCUGGCAACACUCUUUGGAAUGAAACAUUUCAAAUCCAUAAGCUUUCGACUUUGAUUGGCCAAUUAAAACACCAAGCACAACAAAAUAUAUAUAGAAUUAUCAGAAAAUAAAAACGAAUCAUGCAAAAACGUCACCACAACUGCCUACAGCAGCUGCAAGACAAGUAUUGCUGGGAAGAUGUCUCUUGUACAAAUACAACUUAGUUGGAACAGGCAGUCUUGGGUUGUCAAUGUCAAAAAUGUGAUAUAAAGCUGCAAAAGUCUAUGCAUCAACAAUAAAUAAAUAAAUCAUGAAACUGAAUGAAUGUCCAACUAAAACAGGACAUACUGGAAUCUUCCCUAAAUAUGACUAUAAUCAACUUUAAAUCAACUAACAGAUUGAAUAGUUUGUAUGAACAUCCACUACAUAUUUUUCUGAGAAAUCCCAUGCCCUCUUUAGAGGCUCCAGAUUCUUAUCCAGAGAUCCUGCAAAAUGAGGGGAGGGGUUUGAGGAUGUCAAUGACCUAAAUCCAAAUUUUCAGUAUGGAAGAUUCCGCAAAAGAAGUCGUAUUAUACUGGAUUUAAUAUGAUGAACACCUUGCUUCUUCCCAAAUCUGAUACUCUUGUGAUAUAACAUGAUGAUUAAAUCUAAGAUUUCAGAAGAGAAGUGUGGUGGUGUCAUACAAUGACUUCUAAAGAAAUCGCAUGACAACAGACUGCAGAAUUGUUUACAUGUAAAAGGUCAACAUGUAAGCCACUGAAGAUACUAUCUGAUUUAGUUAGAGCAUGGUGGUUCAAGGUCAAAGGAUAUGCCAUAAUUGUUCUACAACAACUAGUUGACACUAUCCAAGACAAAAUUAGAUCCAUUGAAAAGUGGAUCUACAAAGAUACAAGUGCAGAACCUUUCAUAAAACACCCAGUUAAUACAUUAGACCAAACAAGACCCAUACGUUAAACAAGCCUAAGCCAAUCUACAGGUUACCACCGAAAAUAAAUACUGGGAGCAGUGAUCUUUUAUAUGAAAAAGAACCUCAACUGUACCUAAGAAAAAUGAAACUUAAGAAAAUAAUAUGGGAUUGAUUUGAUAGACAAAAUAACAGGACCAUUAAUUAGAGCAAGUCAGAUAAAUCAUUGGAUUCUAGAAAUAUGUGCAAAAUUUCUAUAUGUUUACCUAUGCUGUGAGAUGAUACAAACCAUCAUCUUCUGAAAGGUUUUAGGACAAUAUAAAUCAUUUAAGAUUAUCGAACUGGUUAUAAUGACGAGAAAAUUUUCAAGUCUGGUCAAUUGAAAGAAGAUAAUUUAGCACUUGCCAGACAAUGACAAAUACAACAAAGUGAACAAAGAGCUUCAAAAAAUUAAAAAAAAAAAAGAAAAUUGCAUCAUAUGUAAAAGAAAAUCAGUUGCUAUCACAUUAUUUAAUUAUUAAAGAACUUUAAAUCAUAAGCAAAUUAAUACACAAUAAAAUUUGUUAAAUAAUUAAGAAAUCUAAAAUCCCAUGUGCCGGAUGAUGGAAUGAAGCAGCACUUAUGAACUGUAAGAUUUACUGACUCAUGAAAUUGUAACACUAAUCCAAGAGAAUUGAGAAGAAACUUCAUUUUCAAAAAGAUUACCAUAUUUAAAAAAAAUAAAAAGUACUCUAAUUAAGUGGCUUAUGUUCUUAUUUUUCACCUACAUGGAUGUAGUUUGCCAGAGCCAAGCCUAUCAAUCCUAUUCUAGACCAUUCCUUAUGUCUAAAAGGCUUUAAACGGUUGCUACCUGGUUUCACGAGCAUAAAUAUUACACUCUUCAACAAUUACAGAUCAUAAAAACUCUAAAUAAACAGAAAUAACAAAUUCUCAUAUAAGAAAUCCCAGUUAUAUCAACUGACAGAAAUAGCAACAAGAAUAAAAAAAGCAUGAGCCACAAUCCCAAUAAAAUAAAUGUGCAGCAGGAGGGAUAAAAACAGAAACUACAAUAAUCCAGUUUACAUUAUGUUCCCCUAACUAAUACAGGUAUUACAUAAUGUUAAACUAACUAGUACUCCAAGAAUAUCCCGAAAUGGACAUCUUGAUGGCAUGUGCAGUCAAGAUAUCGGGACCUCAAAUGUCAAUGUUGGCAUCUUAUGUGCAUGGUCUCAGUGAAAUACAGCUAACAAACAUCUUAGCAACUAGUUAAUAGCUAAGGAACACACUUUUGGAGAAUGAGCACAAAGUAAGUCAUUAUUUCAGAUAUAUCAAAACAAAGUUUUCUGUUAUAGAAAGUGAUACAUAUACAAUUUUAUCACUUCUUAGCAUACCAUAGUCCUAAAUAAUGAUGAUCAAAGGAUAAUUGGAACUGGAUGCGAAGAAGACCCAUGGAAAGCACAUCUAAAACUCUAAUUAGUCAUGAUCUUACUGAAUGCAAGAUAAAUUGACCGUAACUAAGCUUCCAAUUUAAAUCAAAUGGUGGCAGAAAGAUCGUUCUUUGUUGAACCUAAUAUUCUGAAAUCCUAUCAGUACAUGCACAAGGCCGGUUCUACAGAGGCCCUCGCAAAUAUAAGAGUUGCAUCAUUGGAAUCAACAGAAUUUGAUGUAUUUGUUUUAAUUCACUACCUAAAUGAACCGAUUACCUGAUUCUUAGUGGUAGUGAUCUCAGGCUUGAGAUCCUGCACGAUGGACUUGCUCUCAAGAUCCCAGAUCUUCACGCUCUCCUGAGUGGCAGCGCAAAGCCAGUAUCGGUUGGGACUGAAACAGAGGGAGUGGAUGAUGGCCCCGGCAUCAAGCGAGUAGAGGCGCUUCCCCUCGGCGAGGUCCCAGAGCAGCGUGACCCCAUCCUUACCACCGCUGGCGCAAAGGGAGCCGUCCGGGCUGACGGCAACCGUGUUGACGGAGCCGGCGUGGCCAGCGAGUGUGCAUCGGAGCUUGCAGUUGGUCAAGUUCCAGACCUUGACGGUACGGUCCCAGGAGCCGGAAACAAUGGUAGGCUGGUACGCGUUGGGGCUGAAACGGACGCAGCUAACCCAGUUGGUGUGAGCAUCGGCGUCCUGGAUGGUGUACUUGCACUCGCCGAGGGUGUUCCAGAGCUUGAUGGUGCCGUCGCGGGAGGCAGACACGAUCUGGCGAUUGUCGAUAGAGAAGGCGACGGAAAGAACGUCCUUGGUGUGGCCGAAGAAGCGGCGGGUGGUGACACCGGUGGAGAGAUCCCAGAGACGGAGAUCACCGUCCCAGGAACCGGAGAGGGCAAAUUGGCCAUCGGAAGAGAGGACCACGUCCUGGACGAAGUGGGAGUGCCCGGUCAGGCGCCGCCGGGGGACGCCGUAGGAGCCGACGCCACUCCCGUCCGCGGAGGCGGCUGGGGCGUCCUUGGUGAGGUGCCACACGAGUACGGACUUGUCCCGGGAGGAGGAUACAAUCAUGUCAGAGUUGUCGAUGGGGGCCGCGAUGGCCGUCACCAUGUCGGUGUGGCCACGCAUCGUGCCGCGGAGGACCAGAGUGUCGGCCAUCUUCGGAUGUGCGGCAGAGAGGAGGAGAAGGGCGUCGGCUGCUAGGGGUCAAAGGAGGGGGUGAGAAGAGGCGAUCAGCAGAGAUGACCUCAAAUAUGGGAGGACCGGCUAGGGUUUUGGACGCUGCACGAGAGGUGGUUGUCAAAUUGCUCGAGCCAGGCCUUCAACCCCAGGUUAUUGAGAUCGAGCCGCUGUACAAAAGCCCAAUUGAAUUCGGUCUGGUUCAAUGUUCCGAGACGAACUAGAACCGCAUAGUCAUGUCCAUUUCAAUCGAACCAAAAUGACGAUGGAUGUGUGAUGUCGAUUUGAUCGGAUUCCAAUCUUUGAAUCCGAAUACGAAUCCAAAUUCGAAUCCAAUUCAAUUUAAAGCACCCAAAGUUCUCUGUCAUCCCCAAACCGCCGCAAGCCGCCAACAAACUCCCGCGUCGACGAUCGCGCGGACGUCGCCUCUUCUAUCACCAUCAUGGCCGCCGCAGCCGCCUCCUUUUCGUCCUCUGUGUCUUUGUCCUCCUCAAGUCACCACCGUCGUCUCACCUGCAAGGACAAUACCAGAGUAAUCGGAACGUUAAGCCCCUCCCCCCGCCUUCGGAACCCUAGCGCCCCUCAUCCUCCGCCACCGCCGCCGCGGGUCCUCGGUCUCCUCCUCCUACACUGCCUCCGACCCUGCCUCCGUUGAGGCCAGCGGAUGUGGCAGUAAUGAGCACCAGGAUCAGCGAUCGAAGAUCCGGCGGCCGGCUGAGGAGAACAUCCGCGAGGAGGCGUGCCGGCGCGACGAGGGAAACGCGUCGCACGGCUUCUUGGCGUGCUAUGUGCGCUUCAACGCUCCCGUCGACUGCGGCGAGACCGGCUCCUCGCGGUGUUCAAACAUCGAAAAUGGGUAAAACUAGAUGAUCGGAUCGUAAUAUUUGACGUGAUGUUUGAUAUUAGAGCCAUUUGUAGAUGGAGUGAAUAUAUAUAUAUAUAUAUAUAAUGUGAAGCCACCGUUAAACUACGCUUGACAUAUACUAUAUUAAUAUUUGAUUUAAGUUAUGUUGGAACCAUCAUUGGCCUAUGUUUCAUGUGUGAUCUCUUCAACUCCCGCAUUAGCAGCACCAUAUACUCUAUGGCUUUAGCAUCAAUCAACUAGUCAACAUAGGGAAGGGAUAACUGCUUUCUCGGCAUGUUUUAAUGAGAUUAAUAUACUCAAUACGUAUUCUUUAGUUUAUAAUAUCAUCGAGUCAUUAUAGGUAUUGAAUGUUUAUAAUGAACCUUACUAAUAACAACUUAUUUAUCUCCUUACUAAUUACUCAUUGGUGAUCAGAAGUAAACUUAUGAAGUCUUUACUUUGAUCAUGUCUUGAAGGAAAUGUUCAUAUAAUGUUGAGUUAGGUUGAUUCCUAGCAUGUCCCUUCGUCACCACGUAUAUAUCUUAAUAAUUUUCUGAAGAAAAUUAAUGAGUUACACCUAUCUCUCGUUGGGAAGGGUCGUCUCAACCUAAACAAUUCGGUAGGCUCGAGCUUUAUCUAAGGGCACUUUAAUCAGCGACUCCAGUAGCUCGAGAUACAGGAUGGACUUGGCCAAGUCUUGGGGGUCUAUAGGUGGUGCCUCAAGUAAAACUUUCUUUAGUAGGAGACUGUCAUUAGGUAGCACUGGUGUGGUUUCCUUGGGUUGCUUCACAGAUGUUGGCCCUCAUCAGGAAUUUCAUCACCAUAUGAUAAGUCAAUACCAAUGCCCUCAAGUUAUUCAGUAUUAGUCGACCUAUGAUUACAAUGUACAAAGAGGGGAUAUCCACCAUCAUAAACUUUGUUAAUAUUGUUUUGGAGUAGAGUUUUUCUAUGAAUGUAACAUGCAAGUUCACGAUCCCAAGAGGGGAGGUAGAAUCACGAGUGAAUCCCGUCAAAGAAGAAGUUAUUUAUGUAUAUUCAUUAGUUGAUGGUUCAAGUUUUCGAAAAGCAUCAAAGUAGAGGAUGUCAAUAGAGUUACAUAUAUCGGUCAGAACUCUCUUCAUCUAGGCAUUAAUCACUCACAAAGACCACCAAAGUAUCAUCAUGAUUUAGGUUGAGUUAUUUUAUCUCUUCUUCCUUGGAAGUUAUGUUUAAGUCGCCUUUCGUUCUUGGCUCUUUUAAAUGGUUGCUCGAACAUAAGCUUUAUGAUUCAAGGAGUUGUUCCCCCACCAAGAUAGGUUCACCAAUGAUGACAUCAAUUUAUUUCAGCAUCGGCUCUUGAGGUUGGGGUGAGGUCGGUACUUUCUAAAAACUACAUGAGGUUUCACCGCUAUAUUAUCAUGGACAAAGCUAUAAAUAGAGUAAUCGAUUUAAUACUCACGUAUAUCUAUGUAAUACUCACGUAUAUCUAUGUCUUACGAUUUGUUCAUGCUUUACAUAACAUAUAGAGGGCUGACGGUAGGCUUGGAAUCCCCAUUUUGAUUAGUUUUGGUAGUUAUUUUUAGGCUUGUAAGCGAAGGUUGUGUUAUGUGGGCAUUUGUAGGGAUUUUAGUCUACGAUAGACCUUCUUAGACCAUUUGUCAUGCAACCAUUCAAAGCUUGUGAAAUUCAUAUUUGAAAUUUACAUUACCUAUCAAGUGCUUGCUGAAAUGGUUGCUUGUGAAUCCUGAGUUAAAUGUUUUCUCUACUUAUCUUCUCUUUUGUAGGUCCUUAAGAGAUCAUAAGAGAUUUUAAUGAUGUUGACCCUUUGCGAACGAACACUCAAUUGUGCCGUACAACUAAGUCUAUGACAAUUGGUAUCAAAGUGAGAUAAGCAUAUAUAGAAACUCUUGGCAUACAAAUGUGGGAGCUCCAUUUCGAUGAACGACACGAUAACAAAAAGUGCUAUGGAUUCAAGGAGUGAACGCCAUGGUACCAUAAAGGCGGGUCUUCCAUGCAUGUAUAAAAUUUUACAUUGGAUGUAAGCCUUGAUUAUCAAUAUAUGGAGGCUAUGUAUCACUAUGGGAGAAUUCCAAAUACAAGUACCAAUGAGUCUCAUGGGGAGACUUGAUCAUACAGAGGUAUGAUUGGAGCGAGUUGAGAGUUAGAUUGCUCCAGAGCUCACAUUCGUUUAAGGGAGCUCGACAAAUUAGAGGACAAGGCCGAGUAAGCGAAUGUUGCUACUAAAUAAACUGAGAACAUAAUCGACGUGAGCCCUGAAACAUGAUAGUGAAAGCCAUGCAUGAGAGUUACAGUUUGUUUUUCCAUCGACUAAGGGGUAUUGCUUGGAGAACAUAAAGUUAUUGAAGCAGGUAGUCAAAAAGGGAAAAAAAGUGACGACGAGUCCAAAGUGACUUAACUACCUAAAACAAGAGUUGGUUAGACUAGAGGUGGACUUGGAGUGUCAUAGUACUGUAGAGGCAGAUCUACCGAUCAUGAAGAAAGAGAUGCAAAUGCGAGGUAAUUGAUAGUAAUUUCAUGGGCAUAACAAUGUCAUUAUAUCAUAGAGGUAAGACUUUCAUGGAGUCAUUGAUCCCUUACACUUAUAAAGAGAGAGCGUUAGUCAUGAAAGGGCCGAGGAGAUGGAGAAUACAGAGGCAAACUCCAAGUACCAAGGAGAAUACUGAGGCAAACUCCAAGUACCGAGGCAAGGUUGAAGGGCAGUGGCUAGGAAAUUUUGUAAGACCAGUAUCAACGAGCUUCUCGUCAAAAUAGCCGAAAGUGAAGGACUACGGGUCGAUACAAGAGUGCUUAACAAAGGAAUGAAAUAGGCAGUACGUGGUGCUAUACCUUUUCUACUCAGAGGAGUAGGCGACAGAAAUGAUGUAGAAGAUGGUACAAUCCCAGAGGCAAUCAAAACUAUCAAAGACUUACUGCAAGUUGGGGUGAAAUUUUGCUCUUUUUGAGCAAAACUUCUUGCAUUCUAGAAAUUUGAUGGUAAUAAGAAAGAAAAUUAGAAUAGUUAACUCAACGCAAGGAGUGUAAACACUUCGAGUGCUUUGGAAGUGUGAGCAAAGAGUAGGUGAAGGCUAGUAAUCAACUUCAUGCAUAUAGUACAACCCUCGAGGAGGCAAGCGAAGUUAAGUAACCUUUACCUUCUCAACUUUUAAGAGAAUGAACGAAAUCGAGUAUCCCAGUUCUCCUAUUUAUCUAGUAGAGGAGCUCUGCACAGGUUUAGAGACCCUUUGAAGAAACUUAGUGGGAGACAAAUAGUUAUCAAAUCCUCACCAAUGAUGAUCGAUGCUAUUCAGAAUAGACUAUUCGCUUCAAUUUUCAACAGAAUGUCAAUCGAAAUGAAAGUGAUACGAACCUACUUGGAAGUGAUAACUAAAUGGAAAAAGAAUGGAUGGACGAAUUUUAUAGAGGAAAGACCCCAAAAACUUUAAAGUUUGUGAUACGAUAUUCGUUAAAGCUCUAACAUGCAUCUAUCCAGUUCAAGCGACAUGAGACAUUUGAGAGACUAGGGCAUAACAAGGAUGGCCUUUUCGUUCAUCUAACAAGGAUUAACAUAACUCAGUCGAUCUCAUACUAGAGUCAGAGUUAUUGACAAGUUGAAGUAGUAUGGCGAAUCAAAGUUGGAUUACUCAACAAUAAUGGUGGAGAGUAGUUGGGAGCCAAGAGGCAUGGUGUAGUUGGAGUAGAAGAUUGAAGAUUCAGCAAAGGCGAGAUGAUGCAAUGUUCGCGAAGGCUUCGACGAGGACGUCAAAGGAAUAAGUGGAGGAGAAUAUCAUGGAUAAAACUAUAAAGAGGGUGUUCGAUGUAAUACUCAUGUAUGUUUGUGUCUUUCAUUUUUGUUUAUGUUUUGCACUAUAUAUAAAGGACUGACAUAGGCUUGGCAACCCCAUUUUCGUUACCUUUAGUGGCUGUUUUAGGCUUGUAAAUGAAGAUUAUGUCAUAUGGGCACUUGUGGAGAUUUUGGUUUGUGGUGGACCUUCUUGGACCUUUUGUCAUGCGACUGUUCAGUUCUUGUGAAGUUCAUGUUUGCAAUUUGCAUUGUUUAUCAAGUGUUUACUGAAAUGAUUGCUUGUGGAUCCUAAGUUAAACGCUUUCUCUAACCUAUUUUAUCUUUUGUAAGUCUUUAAGAGACCCUAAGAGGUUUCGAGGAGGUUGACCUUUUACGGACGAACACGCAAGGGUAUCACAUGACUUAGGCAGAACCAGCUAAGUUUGUGACAAUAUAAGCUCUUCAAUCUACUAUUUUAUGUUGUGACAUUCUUUAGUGUCAUGAUUUUCUACUUCUAACAUAUCAACUAAGCAUAUAAACUAAGUCUACGAGUGUUUCUUCUUCCCUCCACUUGAGUUUGAGGAGUGUUGUCGCUUAAAGGCCAAGGGCAUAAGUUCUCGAGGAUAUGAAGUUCGAACUCCCUCACCAACUGGGCAAAGGAGCAUAUAGAAAAUAACUUCAAGAGAGCGUACAAUUAUCAUGCUAAGCCUCUUAACCUAAUCGAGAAGGCAUGAUACUUUAGGGUGUCCAAGGUGCCAUAUAAUGGUAUCUGGGCAUAGAACGCUGUAAUAUGCUCCAUCGAGUCAAUGCUACCAUUGACUGCUUCAAGCAUGCGAGAUGAAAGUUUGUUAGAAUCGCUUCCUCCUUGAUUUUCUAGGUGAAUGACAACUGACCUAAGGUAGGGUCGACCAACGUCUCCCAUUUUAAUUGUUGGAACUAUAGAUGCAUCUCCUUCAAAUUUCGGUCUAUCUAUUGUAGUUAGAUCCAUAGGGAAUCCUUCAUCGAGUCCGUUGAUUGAGUUUUAAAUUCAGGCGAGGAAGAGUGAAAGUGGUAUGAUCUGUUGAAUUUCAUGAUCGAUGAUCAAAGUACCCCCUCGACUGACGAUUCAAUGGACCUCAAGCACUCUUGAGAUAUCAACACUAUAUUGGGAAAUCUCGGCAAGUGCCGAUAGUGAUGGAGUCGAGGAUUAUGGCUGAGUUGGUGGAGUUGCCUAUUGGGCCAAAAUCAGAGCGACGGCUUGUCUCAUGCUUGUUAUUAUAUGUGCUUACUAAGUUAGGUUUAAAAACACCUCAACAGGGAUAAAGAGGUGGCCCAAUGCUGUCCCUAGAGGUGAAAGACCCAAAUUGUUGAAUAGGCGCUAGUACGCAUUUGAGUUUGCAUCGAGUUGGAUUCUCCAAUGUGUGGAGAGGAUGGUUGUUAAUCGACUUGGGUGAAAGUACUGUGAGUCGGAGGCAAAGCUUUUUUGUUUGAGCGUUCAUUGAGAGGAUUGACAGGUGGUUGUUCCUAUGACAUUGAGUGCUCUUUCUAGCACAAAAAAUGUUACAGGAAGGUAUUAUUGAUGCCCGGAUCAGCCCAAUGUAGUCUGAACCUGUAUACAUAUGGUUGCCCAAGGUGUUUCCGAGAUGAAAACACUAAACUCUCGAGGUGCCAGUUACACAAAGACUAAGGUCAAAAGAGAUUUUUAGACCCGAUUCCUUUGUCACACAAGUUAGUAAUUUGAGGUCUAUGAGUACAAAUACAAGUACUAAAAAAAAGUCAACCACUUACUCAUCGUGUUGAAGACGAGCUUUUAUACUUAGUUAUAAAAAGAUGGAAUAUGAAAUAUUCUACGAGGUAACCUUUAAUCGCUUCCAAUGGUCCUCUCUUGGCCUCUUGUUCAUGUGGGCGACAAGGGAGGGGGCAACCUUAUGCUGCCUACCUUGAACCUACUUUGGACUCUUAUCCAUGCGAGUAGAUGACUCAAAGGUGACUUGGAUCUCUUCCCCCCAUCGAGGACUCCACGUAAUAAUUAUGUGUUGAUUAGAUGAUGAUAUACUCCCUACCAUCAUGAGAGAUAGCUUUUAACUAUAUUUAACGAUCUCAAUUUGAUAUUUUUUUCUAUGUAGAUGAUAAUGAUGAAGAGAACCCAUACUAAGCGAACGAACCAAUAAAAGUAAUUUUUGUCUCAUUCUUGGACAUCACGUGGAGGAUAUAUAACAAAUAAUAAUAAUGGUAAUGAUAAUGAUAUUAAUAACGAAGAUAGUAAUGAUAAAAUUACUGGUAAUAAAAUUCUUUUGAUUGCAUUUGCAUUGCUUGUGACUUUGAUUCAUAUGCAGUCUGCUGGGUUUACCAUUACCAGUUACUGUCCUGAUCGCUGUAGGUAGAUGCAUCCGUGUUGGAUUCGAUGAGAAAACGAUCAAUUUGCUCCAUACAGAUUUGUUUUAUGUUGCGACGGGUUCUUUUACUCGGACAGCGUCGAACACAUUGGCACUUGUUAUCGAGAAGCUCACCAUGAUGACGCCAGUGCUGAUGCAAAUGGACUUCCAAGUAAGAACAAAUAAACAACUAAUAAUAAUAAAUAAAAUUACAAAACAAGCUUAGAUGGUAGUCAUAAUCAUUAGGCAAUUGGCAAUUGGCAAUUGCCAAAGUUUUCCUCUUUUCCCUUUUAUUUUUGGCUUGAAAUGUUAAAUUUCUAACCCUAAAAAGAGCAUAUUAUUGUAGUAUUUUAAAAUUCUUAAUUUUCUCUUUGCUGAACUUUUUUUUUUUGGGUGAACUAAGAAGAUCAUCACAAAAAGGGAUUCGAUCAUUCACCAAAAGGAAACAAAAUAUAUAAGCAAGAGAAAAGUUUGAAUCUUGAACACCAAACCAUUACACACCUGCUGUUCUCACAAUGCCGAUUUGGAUACACAAGCCCUUGCAUUAGCUUCUUUCUGUGAAAAGAAGUUCUUCUGAUCGAUGACCCUCAUUUCUUCCACUUAAAUUCCCUGCAGAGAAGAGUUACAACCUUGCUUAGACAAAGAUGAAGGAUCAAAGAAUAUAAGCAAUGACAUAAUAGAGAGAAUUGAGUAAGAUGGAAAGAAUGCAGAAGAGAGUAAGCGUUUCUCAUAGAGCUAAAAGGUCUCCCUUCUAUCAAUAAUGCUGGAACAGUACACCAUAGUCACAUAUUACAAGUUCCUCACAGAAAGCUUCAGAAAUAUUGCCUUGCUACAAACUAACAUAACACGUUGAUUGAUGAUUCAAGAUCAGAAGAAACAUCAGGGACAACUCCCAAAACCUCGAGUACCAAGGAUGUCUCUUGGCGGAGCGGCAACGCAACCUCAGAACAAUCCACAAACAACUGAUCCUAUGAACUAAGAUGAGGCUUAAGCUUUAAACUGCCACUCCCUGCGACACAUAGGGCAAUGUGGCUGAGGGGUCUGCGAGUUAACCCAUUUGAGAAUACAAUGCAGAUGGAAAGCAUGAUUACAGGCACCCCAGAUCAGUGGGCAAUCGUCACCCGGGAAUUUACAGUCUGGGCAGCAACCAUCAAACGCCAUUCUGCAGAUCCCGCAUGUUUCAUCCUGAGCAUCCCAUGUCCACGAAGCCACAGCAUGCCACUUCAGUAUUUUGACCUUCAUCAGGUUUACUGAGGAAGAAAACCACGGUCAUUUUAGCUUUUGCUUAUUCAAAGCGUAUCGAUAGAGUGCAAUAUAAAGAUGAUUCUAAGCAGCUUUCCUGAGAACCAAAAUGGCUCCAACACAUUGUAUACGAAAAACAGAAACAUAAUCUUGUAUACCUUAUGUUAAAUGCAAGAUAUAACUGCAAAAAUUUGAAUCAAUAACCUCGUGUCGAGAAUCAAAUCAGCCACCAUAACAUAUUACUAUAAGUAUAUCUAGACUACUCAAACAACUUCAGAAAUGAAAACAAUGGUAGCAUCUGCAAAAUAUAGUGAAGGAAACCUAAAAAGAUCAACAGCAGAAGAAAGGCAGUGAUGAUACUUCAAACAAUACUAUUAGAAGCACCUGCCCCCAACAUUCAAGAACAUCUUCACUCUAGUAGGAUCUUUAACAAGUGCAUUUGCCAUCAGCUUAUGAAACCUUUCUUAAGAAAUAAAAGAUUCUUCCACAGAACUCUCACAAGAAUAAGCAAAUAGGCAGUUCUUAGUGAUUGCAUCUAUUUUGAAACAGAAAGGAUUUAUUAUGUUUUCAUCGAGCUAAAAACUACAAGUCAUUCAUGAAGUUUAACAUGUGAAGGCUUCAUUUAACAUCAAGAGACAAAAGAAAUUGGACCAUGUACUGCUCUCCAGGCUCACUAAACAACCAAAAAAAUAAAUUGAUUCUCAAAGCUCUUCCCUGUUUUUGUUUGACUUGUAGUUCAUUUUGACGAAGGCUGCACACCUGAGAUGGGAUCAAUCAAAAGUUAUCUAUCUAUAAGGCCUCUAAAUCUUGCCAUUAGAUCCACAAAUUACCUAAUCUUGUUUUAUGAAAUAUCAUUGAAGAGCGUAUUUGCAAAUCUCAUCCUACCCUAAGUAUAGAGAGAGAGAGAGAGAGAGAGAGAGAGAGAGAGAGAGAGAGAGAGAGAGGAGAGAGAGGUUUGCUGCACCGUCGGGGGAGAGAGAGGGGGACUGCACCGCCGGGGGAGAGAGAAGAGAGAGGGAUGCUGCACCGCCAGCAGAGAGAGAGAGAGAGAGACGCACUGAGGGGAAGUGGCCGCCUUGCGCACGAACGCCGGUCGUCGGUCGUCGGCCGCCUUUCACCCGACUGGGAGGAGGAGGAGGAGACGUUCGGGUAUUAGGGUUUCGACACAGAGAAGGGUGACGGGGUUACUAUGACUUGACAUGAUCUGAUCAAAUGAAUUGGCUUUUAGCAUUUGAUCUGGUCAAAUCAAUUAGCUUUUCGGUUCGACCAAACCAAGUGGACCGAGCCAUGAUCUGAUCAAAUCUAUUACUGGUUCGAGCCACGAUGUUCGAUUCGAUUUUGAUGAAUAGAGUUUUGAAUAUUAAUGGAAUAAAUAUAUGUUAUUUCCAGAAAAUAUAAUAUAAUAGAGAAAACUAUGAUAUUGAUACGGAGCAUCGCUUCUCAGCGGGACGCGAAAUCUCGAACGCAUUUUAAUUCGAGCGGGCGAUAACCCAAAACCCGUUCGAUUUGGAUACUUUCCCUAUCCAUUUGAGAGCUUCCGGUCCCCUCUUCUUCGAUCCGUCGCCGAUUUAGGGUACUGUUGAGGUAUGAACGAACGGGACUUGAGGGAAUCCUUCUGUUUCUAGGGUUUCGGUUCGAUCCAUUGGCGGCGGCGGCGGUGGCGCUGGAAAUAUUCGGAUUUUGCGACCAUGAGUGCGGUGAAUAUAACGAAUGUUACGGUGUUGGAUAAUCCCACGGCGUUCCUCAGCCCGUUCCAGUUCGAGAUCUCGUACGAGUGCUUGAUUCCUCUGGAAGAUGGUAUAUUUCUCGACCAAAACUUACAACUUCAAGAAAAAGUCCCGCCUUUCGUGGGUUUCGUUGUGCGUCUUUCCUUUGAUGCUUCUGUUCGUGUUACACUGUUGUUUGUCAUGACUUGGUUUCAUUUUCUAUUCUUUUCUUCUUGUUAUGGAAUCGAAGUGAAAGGUGAUUAUAGUUUGUAGGAAGGGUUGUCCAUGAAACAACAUUAUGGCGUGGUGGCUGAAAUUUGAGCUUUAGAUGAUGCGGAACAUGGAAAUGGAGAAGAAGAGGGAGUAGAAGCUUGUUGAAUUUAUUGACGGAAUCGAGAUACUUGUAGAUGUCUUAUUCCCGUCAAUAACAUUGUUCUUUUUGUAGGAUUAGCACUAGUUUAUCAAUGUAACGUGUGAAAGCAGGGCGAGGAGUGGUGACGGUGACAUAUUUUAGGAAGUUUUCUUGGGACUUAUAUGAGAUGUUAUAGUCAAAUUUAACGAGCUUAAGUCUAUCGAUAUACAAAAUAUUUAAUGUUAUGGCUGUGUGCCAACUCCUUAGAUCAUGACACAAUACCUCUUGUGCAAUACUAGCAGGUUAUAUGUGCCUGGUAAAUGUUUUAGUUUAGCAUAAUAUUGUGCUGCUGAGAUGCAUAGAACAAAGGCAUGUAUCAUUUUUGACUUCUUUAUAUUCAUAACUAAGCUCACAGGAUGAUGUUAUGAUAUGAGAAUAUGUCCUUUCAAUCACAUUUUCAAGAUUAUCAAAAUUAUACCUAGAAAUCCACUAGGUUUUUGUGCUUGUGGGAUACUAUACUUUGAAUAACAUUAAGCUAUAACCACUAAACAAAAUAGUUUAAAUUGUAUCUUACCAUUGUGUCUUUAAAGCAUCCAUUUAGAGUUUCUUAUUUAUUUUUGAUCGAUGCAGUCCAAGUUAUCGACAUAAUGCAAAUAUAUAUCUUCUUAAAUACAUUUAGAUUGCUCAUGACACAAAUUUCAAAUAUAUUAAAUAACAAGUAAGAGCAAUGAAGGUUUGUUAGUCUCAGAAUGCUUAUACAGCAGUGCAUACUUUUGUAUACGUUGUUUAGAAGGUUAUGGUGUAUCCCACAGUUGGAGUCAUGCAGCUAUUAUCAGCCCUUUACAUUUUGCAACUAACAUAUGAGACUGCUGACACAAAACUGAAGCAGAUUAGCAGACACUAGAUUAGGAUUUUGCUGAGAUCAUUGCAGGGGAUUAAGAAAUAUCAAAGAAAGUUGAAGUUUUACAUGUUGAAAAGAUUUUAUGUGUGUUCAUUAAGGUGUCAGUCAACAUUAUUUAUAGAUUGCAAGGAGUUAGGUAAGUUGGAGUCUUUAUGAGUUUAGGGGUUAGGGACAUUUUAGGGAUUAUUGGGUUAGGAAUAUUAUGUAAGACUCAUUUUGUUCUACUUUGAGAUUCACCAUGGAAAAAUAAGGAGUUUGAACUUAUUCCUCUUGUUAUACUUAAUAUUGGUGGAACUUUUGGACCAAGACAAUUCUUUAGCUUUUGGGUGAAAUUAUGCAUGGUCGCGUAGGGAAGCCAUUGGGCACUCACCUACGCUUCCAAGCGAGGUGAGGUGACGCUUGAAGGCCUAGAAACUAGUAUAGGUGGGCACCUUCAACUAGGUGCGGCCUUGGGCUUAGGCGUUGGGCGGGCUAGGCGCUUGCUUGUUUCAAAUCAGGCUUGGGUCAAGCUUGAGUCGAGCUUAAUUCUCAUUGGUUCUAGUUCGAUUGAACCAAAUCAUCCAAUCCUAAAACCCCUGUGCACACACGCACGAGCCCUAAUCGCAUUGGUGUCUUCCUCUCCAAUGAUCAACUACUGUGGUGUUUUCCAAUUCAUCAAUGAAUGACAAUGUUGUGUCUUCCUCUCCAAUGGUGAAUGGCGCCAGUGGUGUCUUCCUCAGUAUCUCUCUCUCUUCUUCCUCCUCCGUGGUCGCACCCCCUAAAUCAUGACAGCACCCUGUUCCCUCUACCAUAGUCGCCAACAUCUUCCCCCCUUCGUCAUAGCCCCCUAUGUCGGCGUUCGCCAGCGCCUUUCCCUCCCUCUUUCCCCUUCUAUUACAGCCCCUCGCAUUGGCGUCCGCCAGCCUUUGUCGCAGCCCCCUCACCCCCCGUGUUGGAGUUUGCUAGCGUCUUCCCCUCCCCCCAUGCGCCCUUUAUUGUAGCUCCCCUCCUUCCCCGACAGCAUCCUCCUCCUUGAUUGCUCCUCUCUCUGCUCCCAGACCAUAGCCCCCUCUCCUUCCUCUUUCCUCCCUCUUCCCCUCCCAACUGCAACGCUCUCCCAAACCCCCUCCCUCUUCCCUCUUCGAACGACUAGUGACUAGUAUUCUCCCUAUGGCAAUGGUGUAACAUGGCUCCUUCCAUUGCUAUCAACCUUCCUUCCUUGCCUUCCCUAGUUCCAAUCAACCUGCUCCUAUUCUCACCCCCCUCCCCUGCAAAAUUAUUAUUAUUAUUUAUAAUAGUUAAUUCUUAAGAAUACAAGUUUAUGAAUAGUGUUGAUUACUGUAUUUGCGACUACUAGAAUUUUGAAUUGUUAAUUCUUGCUAUAGUUUUGCAUAAUGUUAAUUUUGAUAUUAAUCUUUUAUUAUUAUUAUUAGAUUCAGAAAAUUUAGCAUUUUAAUAAUUUGUAGAUGGUUAAAUGAAUGUAAUUUGAUAUUUAGUGGUGAUAAUUUGAAGAUGAAAUUAUAUGAAACUCAUAUUUUGUCUAUUUUUAUUUUAAUGGUUGACUUUUUUAAUUAUAAACUUUUUAUCAUUUUUAUAUUAGCGAGCGCAUUGCUUGGUUGAGCACCUAUUACCUCAAACAUUUUUGAACCUUGGCGUCUUUCAGCAUGUAGCGCCUUUGACAACAUUAGUCAUGUGUAGAUCUCUGCCCAUAUUGUGGGUAAGGUCUAAAAGUCCAUAUUUGUGCUAAAUGCUUAUUUUAUAAUUAUUAGGCUUAAAGUUGGAUUGUUAUAGCUAAAGAGUAUGGGGCAGGAGCUAUGUUGAAAUUUUCUAAUACUUUACACUUAUCAGCAAUAACUCAAUCAGUUAAUAUAUGGGUGCUAUUAUGUGAUGAACUCUUAUUCAAACCGAGUCAGUAGGACAUGUAAUUUCACCUUUAGCAGACAUGCACAGAAAAAUAACAAUGGCCAUUCAAGAAAUGAGGGUUGACUAUAUUUCUGAAGUAAUGGAAGAUCAUCGCAUGUACCUUCCUUUAUCUUUAGCAGCCAUCUGAAUUAUUACGUCUGAAGGUAAUUUCUUUACCAUGUGGACUAUUUUUUCGUAGUAUCUUCAAUCAUCCAAAAGUGCAACGCAAACAAGGUUUGUUUACACUGUCAAUUCAGAACAACUUUACAACAAGGAUGGAUUUAAGUGAAAAAUAUGGAGUACAGGAAAUAUCAUUAUCCUCCUCAUUUCUCCACUGCUGAUUGCUAUAGAACAUGGACAUCCAAAUGUCUUUUCAUAUAUGAACACAGGGUUUAACAUCAUGAUAUGUGUCGGAUAAAGCUUUCCUGGACUAGGUUCUUCCGUAUUUUCAUUUUUGUUGUUUGGAAUGCUUGUGCUGCAUUAAUAGGCACCUUCUUAAGGAGGCAAACACAAACUGGAAUAUUUAAUUUUAUGGUAAUAUUGCUCAUGGCCUUUUUUUGUUUCUUAGUAUCGGCAUUAACAAUUAUUUUUGUGCUCAACUCUUCAGAUUUGGAAUGGAAACUCAUAUAUGUUGGUUCAGCAGAAGAUGAAACUUAUGACCAGCUCCUUGAGAGUGUGCUUGUUGGUCCUGUCAAUGUUGGGAAUUAUCGCUUCGUUUUCCAGGCAAUGUCAGAGAAAUCUGAACCAAGAUAUAAAAAUGGUUUAUACACAUGAUCUCAUAAAGUGACUUGCUCCUCCCUUUUUUAACUUUCAGGCAGAUCCGCCAGAUCCAACCAAGAUCCGUGAAGAAGACAUCAUAGGCGUCACAGUGCUACUGUUAACUUGCUCGUAUCUGGGGCAGGAGUUCCUCAGAGUCGGCUACUAUGUGAACAAUGACUAUGACGAUGAGCAGCUCAGAGAAGAACCUCCUCCAAGGGUUUUGGUUGAUAGAGUCCAGCGGAACAUCUUGGCCGACAAGCCUCGUGUCACAAAAUUCCCAAUCAGCUUUCAUCCCGACCCCAGUGAGAACGGAGGGCAGCAACAGCAGCCACCAGUCUCACCCGAAAGUCAUACAGAUGAUGAUCCACGGUCCAUCCAAAACUCCAAGUGUUAGCUGGUGCUUGUGCGUUUUAUCGAUGUCAUCUGUAGAACGGUAACUUCUCCAAGGUGUUGCCAAUUUGGCUAAUAUAAUUUGCUCUUUGAUCCGAAUACUGUGCCUGACCUGGAUGGCUGGUGGAACUGAGAUUAAGUACUUAGCCGGAGCUGUGUUUUCAUUUGAUGGGAAGGAAACUGCUCGGUUUGUACUCUGAUCCAUACUGUGCAGGUUUAUCGAUGGAACUUUGUAGAAAUACAGUAGUGAGCCUUUGCUCCAUCUAUUUUUGAGUGGGAAAUGAAAACAAAUUGUCAUUUUUAUCUGCCCAUGCCAAGCUUUUUGUUUCCUCGACUUCUUCUGUAGUACUGUUGUGGUCUGCAAAAUACAAUUCCACCAUUCAUCCAAGCACCAUCCCACCUUAAAAGAUGAUUGGUACCUCAAGGCUCGACUGCCAAAAGAGAAGAAUGUUGCCCAACAUUGGAUUCUGCCACCGUGCUGCAGCGUAUCACGCGUGCUUGUGAGAGCGUGAUGGUAUCCGCCAGUGGUAACUGAGCGAUGUCAGAAAGAAAGACUCGGGAGAAGGAAUACACAACAAAAACAAGAUCAUGAAAGCCAGUUUAACUUGUAAAGAAUUUUUCAACCUUUUAUCGAGGAAAGGGAAGCCAAAGUCUGUACUGGUAAGGUGGUGACUGAGAAAUCAAAGCUGCAAAAGGAAUGGGGAUUUCAGUUAGUUGAAAGCAGAAGCAAACGCUUGGCUGAACACAUACGAACACGAGUACUUUUCAGGAACAAACAUCUCCAAGAAUUUCACCUCUCAAGAAAAGUAUAGCAUUUUGAAUCCAUCAAAGAGGAAACAAACGAAAGCAUGUCCGAUAAAUAGCCAAAUACUUGCAAAAUAACAAUACCUUUUUGCUACUUGAGUUGCAUCAUAUAAGAGUCUCCAAAAUAGUGCACUGCCAUCCAUGCAUUUCAACACUUAAUAACAUAUUUCCUGGUGUCAUGUAACAACUCAAGCAGAUAGUCUGAAUUUUGACAUAACACAGCCAUAAUACAAACAUUAGAAAUUCUAUAUAGACAGUGAGACUGCCUGUCUGUUAUAUACCAUGCAAUGGCCAUUGCAGUUUUUAUCAUUGAAAUUAGAUAUGGAAUUAACCAUUGAAAGCAUUAAAGGAGCCUCAAAUGGUACAUCUGCUUUGUGGAGGCUUGGAAGGUAAUCUACAUGAUUUAACUAUUACAAAGGCAAAAGAAGAACAAAAAAAAAAGUAUUUCAAAAUACAGACUACACUUGCCUGUGAUUCAGCCAGUUCAAACAAAGGGUAAAAUUGUGCAGAAUGAAUUCUGAUGUUCUGCUUGACCAAAGUAACUUUUUUAAAGAUUUGUCGAAGAUAUUUCUACUUUGGUCUGAGAAUAGGCAACAGACGUACAAUUUCACAUUAUGACUAGGGUUUUAUGCCAAUCGCGCCACAUGUCAACAUCACAAAAUGCAUCCCAAGAAUUUGUCCAAACUUCAUCCUUAGUUCGUGCUUUACCUUUCUCCAUGGAGUCUUAAUGUGCCAUCAAUGAUGUUCCACUUCAGUUUAGUUCCUAUACUUGAAAGCUCCUGCAAAUUCUAGUGUUAAGAUUAUUUUGGUGCUUAAUGUGCUGAAAGAGCUUCAGAGAAUGCAAACAUCUGCAUCAUUACCUACAUAACAAACAAAGAACUGAGUAUCAGUUUUAAUGUCACCAUGUGUAACUUUACGGAGAACACAACACAGGUACACUAAUCACCCCCGAAAAAUUUUAGUGGAUGUGGUCUCUCAUGGGCCUGAUGUCUGAGAUGGCACAUAUGGAUCCCAACCAUCAGGCCUUAUGAGAGAUGGCAUCACCCCUAAAAAUUUUUAAGGAUCCACCAAGAUAGCAGUGUUCCUUCUUCAAUGAAUACUAGAAAAGUUAUUUUAUUAUCCAGAAAUUUUUGAAGUAAAACUUUCUGUUUAGAUUAAAAAAACCUUUCAUAGAUAUUAAAUUAAUUGCAGGAUUUGGUGAAACUUCUUGUAAAUCAUCAUCACCUAGAAAUCACAUCAUCGCUGCUUAAAAGGGACUUAUUUCACGAGCCAACUUCAAUUGCCACUCAGGAACCAGGCGUCGCGCUUUAGGUGCUGUAGUGUCUUUUGCAAGCGCAACUGCAUCACCAGCAUGGAUGACGGCAACUACAUCUUCAAGAAGAUCAUCUCUACCACCUCUUAGAGGAUCCUGUAAGCGAAUGCCUUUGGUAUUAGAAGUAAAGCAAAUUUAAAACUCGAGUUGAAACAUAGAUAGUCAUCACUUCCUGUUUUAUAUUUGUUCACAGAAAAGAAAAAAUAUGUUGAAACAGAAUCCAUGCAAUUAAUACAAGGCUCAUAGGUUCUGCAUAAUGAUUCCGGUAUGUAAUAAAAAUUAAAAGACAAUUAAUUGCUUUACUUGAUUAGGCAGAGUUCCUUUUCUUCUGAUUCACAAUUUGACCUAUGAGUAGGGCAAGUCUUCAAUUUCAAAUCAUUCCUAAGUCACUCUAGCAUUCACUAAUAUCCUGAUCUCUAUUAUUUUUUUGUCAUCUCAAGUCCUGCUUCUCCAGAAAGUCCUAGAAUAUUUGCAGUUCUCUUCCGGGUCCAGAUUUCAGCUAGACAAUUUAAGCCUCCUAUCAAAUGGCACGUAUUAUGCCAGAACUGAAUACAAGAGAUCUGGGCCUCUCGCUUGGUACAUACUCAAAGGUUGGUUCACUGAAACAUGGAUAACAAGACCAAGAAUUUGGCAUAUUAAUUGCUAGUGAAUGCAGGACAGUAAACAAAUUGGAGGAAAAGAAAACAACAGGCUGCAAUCUCAGAUUCAAUUUAAUUUAAUUUUUCUUUUGUCAUCUCAUGUCAUGCUUCUCCAAAAAGUCCUCGAAUAUUUGUAGUUCUCUUCAGGGUCCAGAUUUCAGCUAGGCAAUUUAAGCCUCCUAUCAAAUGACAUGUAUUAUGCCAGAAUUAAAUACAAGAGGUAUGGGCCUCUCACUUGGUACAUACUCAAAGGUUGGUUCACUGAAACAUUGGAUGCCAAGACAAAGAAUUUUAGCAUAUUAAUUGCUAGUGAAUACAGGACAGGAAACAAAUUGGAGGAAAAGAAAUCAGCAGGUUGUAAUCUCAGAUUCAGUUUAAUUUUCACAAAUGCAAGCUGCAGUCAGAGUAUACAAGAAAAUAGACCGGCAGUAUUGUAAAGGAUUCGAGAGAAAAUUUAUAAAACAUAACUCUAUGGUCAAACCAUUUGACAGCAAAAUAUCAUGAAGAAUAUAAAGGUCAAGCAGCUGCAGCAAUUAAGGAAGAAAUAAAAAAAAGAGGACAAAGAACAGACAAAACAGGAGAUGGAAAGAUGACUAUUUCUAUUUAUUUAUAUUAAGUACUUGCACAAAGCUAAUGCCUAAACCAUAAAUAUAACAUCAAUAUUACAUCCCUAUUUCUGUUCUCGCUGAACCCUGCAAACAGAAUCUUUUCAAUAAUGAUUCCUUCUGAAUAACAACUAGUAGAACUCUCCAUAAAUGGUUCAACACGAGUAGUACAAGAUAGGGAGACAUCAACAAAUUCAACGCAAUACUUCCUGCCAUAAUUUUAAUGGAAGUCACCCACAUGAGAGUUUAAAUCUACUUGAGAUGGGUAAAGCAACCAAGGAUAAACAGAAUAACUUCAAGAAGGUAUAAGAUAGAGUUUUGAAGAGUUUUUAGGACUAAAUUUACUGUUAUACUGCUGUUAAAGCACAUUAACUCAGAAUAAGGAACAUUGUUUCACAAAUUAGACCUGUAUCGGUCACUGAUUGGAUACCGGUGGUGUACUGACACAUCGUACACUAAUACAUAAUGAUACUGAUGUCUCAAAGAAAAAGAAGAAGGAGAAGAGGAAGGGAUACAGAAGGAAGAUGGAGGCGGAAGGAAGAAGGCAGCAGACAAAGAGGAGGAAGAAGCACAAGGAGAAAGAGAAAGUUGGAAGAGGAGACGAGAAGCAUAAGAUGACAAUAGAUUAUAGCAGAAGUUGCACUCCUGAGGGCAGUAGCAAUUGAAAAUAAAAAAGUGAAUUGCUCAAUUACCACGAAUUUACCUGCAAAAACAAAUCAGUGUGUGUCUUGCCUUCAUACAAGAUUAAUUUAACUUGAGCACCAACACUCCUGAGGGCAGAAGCAAAGUUUUCACUGCAAAAUUAGGUAAGUUACUCAUAAAAGCCCAUGGAAAACCUUUAGUCCAAGUAACAUGAUUAAGUAAAAGUUGGAUUACCAAUUAAUAUCAUUUCUAGAGGUAAAUCCAUAUCCAAAGAUAAAUAAAAUUAACUAUAAUAAUUGUUAUGGAGGCCAUAUGUAUGCAGCAUUAGUGAAACCUCGCAUGUUGAUUGGUAAAAAUAUAGACAAAUAUAGACAAAAUCCUGAUGCCAACAAAUUUACCACAUUCACCUAGCAUGUUGAUUGGUAAAAAACAAAAAAAACAAACAAAGAGUCUCUGAAACAAAGCACUUGAUAUGCAAACACAAAAAAUGACUUGGUAGUACAAAAUGUAGGAAGAAGAGCUAUUGGGAUGUGUUGAAGUGAUAUUCUUGUGCCUUAGUUGUGGAUGCCAUGAUAUUCAUGUUUCCAUACUGAUAAGAAUUUUCAGAAGGAAUCUGACGCUUCAAAUUCAUUUUCAAUUGAGGCAAUCUUGUUCAUUUGACAAGUGCUUAUUCCUUCUCGUAACAGUUUCACCAAGACCAACCUGGCAGUAGAGGGUAUUGAAUAGUCUCCUGUUCCAUGGAAAAGGAUAAUCUGAGGCAGGAAAAUAAUAGCUGGGUGAAAACUUUGGUCCUGUACAGUCAAUUCUGGAGAAAAACGCUGUAAGGACUGCUCCCCCUCCAUUAUGCUGUGAUAGAAGUUUUAAAUUGUUGUGUGGGAUAAUUACAUGUGAGUGACAUUCAGCAAAAGAUGGAGCACAAAAAAUAACACUGACCAACGAAAGGAAUGUAGAAUAAUUACCUGAGAAAGAUGCUGCGGUACAGGCCACGUCUAUGGACAUGAUCGACCAAGUCAAACAAGUUAUAUCUGUCAAUUGAAGUUUUGGAACAAUUUUUUACAAUUUUAUUGAGUCAUAAAAUUGAUAAAGCAAUUUAGGAUUUAAGCUAAAAAAAUAUAACAGCCACGAGAUCAAGUUGUCUUUGACUUUGCGAACCUUUCUCUUUUAUCAACAGAAUAGUCCUAGCUUAAAUUCAAGGGAAUAGUUAUUUAACAUCCAGCAUAUGGAAGAGGGAAUAAUCAGUUCUUCCAAACUAUUGAGAAUUGAACUCAGCAUAACAUCAAUGCAUGACGGAAUUUUCUUACAGUCUAUAUGGUUCUAUGCAUCAGCGGGUAUGCACCACUGUACUUUACUUAUAAUUUUGAAUUAUUUUAAUUUCUAAUUGGAAAUAAUAUCUAUUGUAGGUGCUCCUUAUCGUGGCACCUCUUGGAUUGAAUUCCAAGGAUUCUAUGAAUUAAAGACUCCUGGAUGUAUUUCUUAAAAAAAAAAGAAAUGUAGCUCUUGCCCCCACUCUCUUAAACUCCCUAUAAUGUGAUAAUUUUCCAUUUUGUGAAUUUUUUUCUUACUCUGGAUUUAAGGUGUCCAAUACUAGUCUUUAUUUAAGCAUUGUAUAUCACUGGGAUGGAUUUUUGAAGCAGCCAAACACACUUAAUGAAAAUAAUUAUCCUUAGAGAGUCCGGAUAUAUCCUUUAACCUUUUUUUUUUCUUUUACAACUUUUAAUGCAUCUCUAUAGUAGUUCUCCCACUUCAAUAUUAUGCUUACAUUUUUUACUUGUUACUGUAAAACUAUUAUCAGGUUAUAGAUCUAACUUCAUAUACUUCAGCUACCAUGUUUAACUACUACAACAAUAAUAAGAUGCGAUGUCACAGCUAUUUGGGAUAAAUCUAUGUAAAUCUUUUUCCUCUAUUGAGCUCUAAAAAGCAAUACCGUUGUCAUUUUUUUAACUGCUAAAAUUAAUUUACUGCAAACAUGUGCUUUGCAAAAUUUUAAAUGGUAUAUACAAAAUAUAUUUCCAGGAAGAAAAUAAAAAAGCAUCAAAAGUACUAAUCAUUGGAGACAUGCUAUUUCUAAAAGCAAUUCGGUGUCAUUAAAACAAUACAGGAAAGCUAAUAAGCAACAUGUGCAUGUUAUAAUUGCAUCUUUUAUUGUUCUUUUAAGGUUGACAAAAAUCAUGCAUGUUAUAAUUGACUAGAGAAUGUGCAGAAAUAAGCAACAUGGUAUAUCUUCAUAAUGUGUCAUCAUGAUCUGUAAUGAAGAAAUUGAACAUCCCGCUGGAUUAUGAGGCUAUGGGCUAAGACAAAUUCAUUUGCUAGUAUAUCUUGUGAUCUUCAGACUUGAACCAUGGAAAUUAUAAUAUCUUAGCCACCAAUGUGCACGUGCUGCUACCAAGCAUUCCAUAGAUGACACAUCAUAUCAUAUAAUUUAGUUGGGGAACUUGCCAAAAUAUAGAAGCCAGUUUUUAGUAAGAAAAAACCAUCAGAACCCUCAAAGAAGCACAAUAAACAUCAUGUUCAUAAUAUAAAUGGAAAAACAAAUUUUGCAUGGUAACAAACUUAAGAAAAUGUGAAGAACUUCAUAGGAAACCAAUUAAAACAUCAAAUACUUAAAUACUUGCCCCCCAGACAAACCAAAAUAAGUUUUUAUUUGGGACAUGCUCCAAGAAGUGUUUUCUCCUUGAUGUUCUCUCAAUGCCUGAUCAACAAGUGCGCAAGCAGCAAUAUGUGCACCAGCUGAUUGUCCCAUUAAAUGGAUCCUAUGAUUUUAGUCAUGAAUAGGAAAAAUAGAUAUUAGAUGCAGCAAGAUGGCCAUAUAAUCCAGUGCACAUGGAAAAAUAGCCCUGAAGCAAAUUAAAUCCCAAUAUACUAUAGACAACUUUUAACACUUAGAACAUAAGAUCCGAUUAAGAAUACUAGAAAGGAGAUUGAUCAACUAAGUUCUUAUUUGUCCUAAACAUUAAUAUAUAAAUUUAUUUUAAGUUGGAUCAAUCACCGAACUGAGCAUGGAAAAGCUUAAUUAACUUGAUUUUUACAUUGCUUUAUGUAAAAAAACUUAUUAAUCAAUCUCCUUAUCUACAGCUACUUUCAAUAAAAAUUUAGAGUUAUUAACUAGUUGGUUAAAUUAUAAGUUUGAACAUCAAAUAGGUUGGUCAUAUGAUCAUGUCAAAUUUGCCUAGUAGAGCAUGGUUCAGCGACUAUUCCUUCCUUAGUGACACCCAUUAUAGGAUAACUAAAAUAUAGCUUCUGCUAGCUUAUUCAUUCACUGAACAGAAUUAGGGACAUGAUAGGCUUGCCUCCCUCUCAUAGGAACUGUCUAUGGUAUAAGUUUUAUCAAGAUCAAUAUGUGCAUUUUGUACCAAUAAAAGAAGCUAAUGUGGCUGAUAAUAGACAAUUCAUAAACUAUGUACCAUGUAAAAUGAGGGUGAGCAGGUUGCUUCCUUAAGACUUCAAUGAGGUUAACAUAAGUCCCAGAUACAGCUUCUUUAUUCAUAGGGUAAGGUUGUGUCCUUUGACCUUUCUAGAUCCUAUACCGGUGAAAGUCUCAUGCAUUAGACUUAUCCUUUUAUGUAGUAUGCAGUAUGCACUAUGUAAGACAUGUAGCCUUCAAGUUGAUUUUGAGCUUUCGAAGCAUUAAACGACAAUGUUGUCAAAGGCACUAGGUGCUGAAAGGUGUCAAGGCUCUAAAACAUUUGAAGUGCUAAGUGCACACCUAGGUGCUCACCAAUAUAAACAGUGAUUUAAAAAGCGUUUGGCACCAAAAGGCGUCGAGGUCCAAAAACACCUGAGGCGCUAGGCGCUCGCCUGAGCGAAGCGAGACGCUAAAAUAUAAAAAUAUAUAAUAUAAUUAAUUAAUAUAAUUAUUUAAAUAAAAAUAUAAUAUUAAAUUAAAAAAUCUAACAAAAUCAUAAUAUCACAUUAAAAAAAUCAUAAAAAUUCAAAACAAUAACAAUAAUUUCAAAUAAAUAAAAAUUAGUAAUAUUAAAAUCAAAAUAAUAUAUUAUUAAUCUAAUAAAUAAAAAAAUAUUGUUACUAGUUUACUGUUAACAGUAUACUAUCGAGUCGAUGUGAGAAGAGGUAACAACGAGCAAUGCCAGCGGGAGCGAGAGAGGCGAGCGGUGACAAUGGCAACGGUAGCAGUGAGAAGCGAUAGUAAGAGCGGGAGCGGCGAGCGACGAUAGUGGCAGCGGCAAUGGCAGUAGUAGCAGCGAGCAGCGAAAGCGAGAGUGACAAGCGGUGAUAGUGGCAGCGGUAGCGGCGAGCAGCGGUAGCGGCAGUGACAGCGGGAACGGGAGUGGCAGCGGUAGUGGUAGCGGCAGUGACAGCGGGAACGGGAGUGGCGAGCAGCGAUAGUCGCAGUGGUAGUAGCGAGCACUGGGAGUGACGACAAUGGCAGCGGUAGCAGUGGCAACAGGAGUGGCGACAGUGGCAGCGGUAGCAAUGAGCAACGGCAGUGGGAGCGACAGCGACGAUUGAACCAACUAAAGCACCGAAGACCGAACCAGACCUAAAACGCUGGUUUGGUCACCUAGUUUAACCCGAGCGCUCGCUCGAAGCGCCCGACGCUUGGGCUCGGACGAGCGCCCAAGCGACGCCUCUUUAAAGCGCGCCGCCUGGAAAUGAAGCGAGGCGCUCGGGCCUCGCCUCGCCCAAGCGCCUAUUGAAAUCACUGAAUAUAAACAUUAUAAAAAAUAUAAUUAAGGAGAAAGGCAAUAAUCAAGAUAAAAAUUAGAUAAAAUAUGAAUUUCAUAUCAUUUCAUAAUCAAAGUAUCACUAAUAAAACAUUGAACAACAUUCAUUUAAACAUCUAUACAACAUUAAAUUAUUCAAUUAUCCAAAUAUAGUAAAAAAAAAGAAAAUUAACAUCAAAAGUCCAAUAAACCUAGCUUGACAAAUUCAAUACAUAACACAUUUCAUAAACUAGUAUUAACAAUAAUUAACUAUUAUUAAUUAGUAACAAUCAUUUGGUGGGAGAGGUGAGCUGGCUUACAAUAGGAGAAGAGAAAGAAGAAGCAAAGAGAGAGAGAGAGAGAAGGAGGUCGAGGGAAGAGAGAGCAAGAAGGGGGUUGUGCCACUGACCGUCGAAGCUAUUGAGUGCCAUCGGGAGAGGGAGGAGGCGAUGAGUGAGAGAGAUCCAUGAUAGGGAUGCAUCGUCGUAGGCGGUGGAGGAGAGAACACAAUAAGGGGCAUGAGAAUUGGCACCACUGGAGAGCGAGAGGGAUGGAGAAAUGCAGCGUGAAGGAGAGAGAGAGGAAAAAUAAUAAGGUACCUCCAUCUUCAAGAAGGGAGGUCCGCUGGAGAGCCACUCGCCUUAUGCACGAUGGUCAUCGACUUGCACAUGCAUUGGAAGCUGAGAUCCGACUGCCUUACGUGUGCAUGAAGAUGUGGAUUAGGUUAAAGGGCGGGAGGGGGGCAGGUGGAGUGUGUAAUGGCUUAUCUGGCUUGGUUGAACCAAAUCAAUCAAUUUGGGCCAGGCAAGUGCCUCGGCCCAAGUGCAUGCCUAAGUGACGGUCAAUUAAAGGCACUCGCCUGAACCCGAAUUGAGGCAUUUGGGCCUCGCCUGACCUCACACGAGGGCCUAGCUGAGUGCCCGAACGAUAUCAUUGAAUGAUAAUAUCAUACCAGUCCAUCGAAUCAUGUAAGACUAGUCAAACUUAUGUUAACAAGAGAUAGCUAUAGAUCUAAAUUAAAAAUUAGUAGAUAUAUUUUCCUUCACUUUUAGCUAUUCAAAAUUCAGGAGCAUUUUUAGUUCAACAAUUCUUUAUAGAUAAGUUGCACUAGUUAGCACUACAUAACAAAUCACUGGAGGGCAAAACUAAAUGAAUCUUCAAUCAUCAAUUUCUCACCAUAUUCAAUCUAAAAUUUUGUACAUGUUAAUUUAUGGUCCAGAUCUGGAUAUAGUAGAUAACUAAUAUUAUUACCUCUUUUCACUCUUCUUUCUUAUUUGAUGGGGCUAAUAUCCUUGUUUGAUACCCUCAAGUAGAGGUUUGAUAUAGUGGCACACAAGAAACUAAGUUGACAUAGAAUUUCCUAUCAAUCUUAAAAAAUAAACUUCAUGCCAAACUCCAUCAAGCAGUUAAUGUAAAUAUCUUUGAUGGUUUGCAGUUAGCAACCCUUACAAGCAUAAUAAGUUUCAUGACAUAAAACCCAUACCGGUUAGGAUCACCUCCAUAGUCAACAAUAUUGUUGCAUAUAAAUGAGAUCCCUUGGGAGGCAUCUUUUAUCAUAUCACUUAUUGUCCCUUGAGGAAAGUUUCUACAAAAUGAAAACCUCAAGCUUGAAUGAAACAUAAUAUGGUGCCAUCAGGAUCAAGCUGCAUAUAUCAUCUCAAAUGUAGAACUACAGUUUAUCUUUGAAGAGCCUCAACGUUACCUGUAGUCUAUGCAUGCAACUAUAACAUCCCUUUCUGCUAAACGUCUCCCUAGCAGAGCACCCCAUGCUUUAUAGCUGAAGAAAGAAAAGAUGAUACCUAUUAAAUAGUUAGCAAUGUAUCAGAAAUUAUGUUACAAAAUUUCCCGUGCUAUGUCAUUCUCAACCAUGUGUAACUCCACUCACCCAAUGAUCCAGGCCCCACCAGUUACAAAUGCCACAACUGGCUUAGGUGUGCUGCCAUUAAUAGGCAAAUACAGAUCCAAGCUGCAGAACGAAAGCCCUUUAGUUCAGAAGAAAUGAGAAGAAGAAAUACAUGUUAGAGAGGAACACAGUUUGCAAUUGUCUACCGAUUUCUUGGUUGUUCUCCAUAAAUUACACUUCUGCGCACCUGAUUCGAGAAAAAAUAGUAAUAUCCGACUGUAGGGAAAGAAGAGGCAUUAUUAAUUGUAUAGACCAACAUAUGAACACUAUCAAGUAAAUUAGUAACAAACUUGUAACUUGUGCAUGAAAAGAAAUGUAAAAGAUGGUCAUACAAAUAUCUCAUGCAUCAAGUGAAUUUCAGAGCAAGGUUUAGUAAGAAGAGCACCUUGUAUAAAACCUGGCAUAAGUAAGAGAGCAUAAAAGCCGAGGGCAAGAAACUUUGUAAUCCACCGAGAACCAACCCUGAACAAAUUUGAAUAGAUACUGACUAUAAAAUUCCAGCUGGAAUUCAAUUAAAAAAUUUGAUGGAAGAAGAGAAGUAGAGCAGAUAUUUUGUAUAAAAAGAAAUAGUAGACAAAUAAUUUGAAAUUUUAAGCAACUGUAAAAGAAUGAACCCUUGGAUGUUUGCAACCAACCAAAUAUAGGCUUCAGGUUUUGCAAAACAACACAUUACCAUGGAGAAUCACCAAAUGUUUAAAUUUUAAAAUGUUAAGCUUAAUCAAGAAACUUACUGACUAUAUCUAUAUAAGAUUUUUAGGGUGCUACUAAAAUGCAGAUUAAUUAGCGAAGCUGUUCUUUCAUCUGCCUCCAAUAUGAAUAGAAGCUGUUGUAAUAAGGUUUCGUCAUUUACUAGAAAACUCAGCCUUUUUUUGGCGAUGAGACUCUGCUAAUGCUCAUGUGUCCAUCAUCAAGUAGCAUAAAUCAUAAUAACAGAUGAAACCUAUAUAUUGCAGUUCAUGGUUACACUAGUAGGUUGUUUGGGCACUCCAAAUAAUAUGCCAUCAAAUUAGAGUGAAUAUAUACAACAUUAUGUUGCACCAUUCCAUUAUAAAUCUGUUUAAUCCAUUGAUUUCAAGAAGGAAAUUCUAACCCUAGAAUCUGGCAUUUCCCAUCAGGUAAUCAUGAAAGGGUGAGGCAAAUUAGCGUACAAAAAAUAAGAACAGGAUCCAUCUAAGUUAAUAAUGUCUUACCAGUCGACCUCCAAGCACUACAUGGUUUAAGAAAGCAGAAAAUUACUGAGAUCCAUACAUCACGUCCUUAUAAAUCGGUUAGUUUAUACUUUACAGAACAAACAUUUAGGGUCUCGGGCCUAUUAAAUUUACGGGUCAAUUUUCUUGGAUAGGACUAAAGGCACAUUAUGGGAUGAGCCCACGAAUAAAAAAUUCAAACAAAAAAUCUCACUAAUGAAAUCCCAAAAUUUGUACCCGAGGUAUCGGAGGAGGAUGAGGGUGAGCCGAGUAAUGAGGUAGGUUUCCGCAGCGGCGUGACCCAUUUCUUGCCGGAAGGACGGGCGGCGAGAUGGAGAGCCCAGCGGGGUUUCACCGGCCGUCCUCCUCCUCCGGCUGCCGGAGGAGCUGCGGCGGAGGAAUGGCCUUUCCAGAUCCAUCUCCUCCGCAGCUCCGGCACCGUCUCCAUUCGUGGCGGGACGAUCGAUCUCCAUCGCCGACGGCCGAAUGAGAGAGAGUCGGUUUGAAGAAGUUGAGAAGGCCAAAGAAAGCCGGGCCUUUCCUUUGCUUCGACGCAUGACAUUUAUUGCCCGUAUGCAAUGAUACGUAUUACGAAUAUAGGCAACGUGGCAUGGUACGAAUGUCCGAAUAUAUAAAAUUUUGAUCCAACAAUAAUAUUUAUCAGAUUCACUGGUCAAGAAUUUGAGAAUUUUAUGUGAUAAAUAUUUAAAAAAAUUAUCUAUUAAUAUAAAGAUUCUUAUAAUUAAGUCUUACCGACCAAACAGACAGACGGGUAAGACAGUUGUCUUGGGUGGAAAAGCAAAAGCUGACACUCCCCUGACACGUGUCGACGAUAGACGAUGGAUGGAUGGAUGGAUGGAUGGAUGGAUGAUUGAAAGCUGAUAUGUAGAAUUAAUCAAAUAUUUUUUUAUAAGGAAAAAAAAACUUAAAUAAGGAUAACAUAUUUAAGGCUUAAUUGAGUACAUCAGACACGAUCUUUAAGUCAUAUUAUUAGCAAACACCAAGAAAAUAGAUAUUGGAAUCCAUCGAGUAGGCAGGCUGUAAUUUCUUGCCUAAAUACAAAAACAAAUUUGUGCUUGGAACACCUUUCACUCUGUUGAAUUCAGAAAUCAUACAACCAGUUUGCCGGAGGUCAGCUGCGGCAUGAAAGCUCAGGCGAUUCUUAUAACGCUGUCCGUCCUGCCAGCAAGAAUCAUGGAGAUCUGCAGACCACGACUAAAUGCCUGGUUGAACAGCAAGCGAGUCUGGAACUCGGAAACGAAGGGGAACCACGACAGGACAACGAUCGGCACAAAGAUUAAGAGUCCCAUUACGUACUCGUAUGCUCUCCCCAGCUCCUUGAUGGAAUCCCAGAAUCCCGUCUUCUUAAAAAGAGGUCUGCAUGCUUGCCCAAUCUUGGCAAGUGACGAGGACAACAAUGGCUGAGCAUUAGGCACGAACAUACUCAUAUCUGAUGGGUGAAAAAUGGAACAGGAACGCAUGCACUCACCAAAAGGAGAAACCAGCCGGUUGGCAUGAAGCCCAGCAAUGCAGCAAAGACAUCUGAUAUCGUCAGCCCACAGACGAUGAAUAACACGGUCAUGACCGAUACAAACCCGAGGAAGAGAAGACCUUUGAGGAUGCGGAACAUAAGUUGGAAAUCAGUACCAAACCGUCGCCUCCCCAUGGAAACCAUCU
RNAcentral lists this long non-coding RNA (32740 nucleotides) under Musa acuminata (dwarf banana). RNAcentral describes it as "long non-coding RNA (MACU_LNC000110)". The record is from RNAcentral. Lineage: Eukaryota; Viridiplantae; Streptophyta; Magnoliopsida; Zingiberales; Musaceae.